UAGUCCACGCCGUGAACGAUGUGUGCUAGCUGUCGGGCUUUAGGGUUCGGUGGCGGAGCGAAAGUAUUAAGCACACCGCCUGGGGAGUACGGCCGCAAGGUUAAAACUCAAAGGAAUUGACGGGGACCCGCACAAGCGGUGGAGCAUGUUCUUUAAUUCGAAGCAACGCGAAGAACCUUACCCACUCUUGACACACCUCUUGGGACUUUCAGAGAUGAUUGUUUUCGGUUCGGCCGGGAGGAUACAGGUGCUGCAUGGCUGUCGUCAGCUCGUGUCGUGAGAUGUUCGGUUAAGUCCGGUAACGAGCGCAACCCUUAUUGUUAGUUGCCAUCACUCAGUUGGGCACUCUAAUGAGACUGCCGGUGAUAAGCCGGAGGAAGGCGGGGACGACGUCAAGUCAUCAUGGCCCUUACGAGUGGGGCUAGAAACGUGCUACAAUGGCUAUGACAAUGGGCAGCGAACCAGCGAUGGUAAGCGAAUCCCUAAACGUAGUCUCAGUUCGGAUUGUUCU
This 511-nucleotide ribosomal RNA is filed under the name uncultured bacterium. Its description in RNAcentral is "bacterial SSU rRNA". It matches the Rfam family "Bacterial small subunit ribosomal RNA", at positions 791 to 1304 of the family's 1533-position model. The record is from RNAcentral.